UGGGGAAUAUUGGACAAUGGGCGCAAGCCUGAUCCAGCAAUGCCGCGUGGAUGAAGAAGGUCUUCGGAUUGUAAAGUCCUUUCGACGGGGACGAUGAUGACGGUACCCGUAGAAGAAGCCCCGGCUAACUUCGUGCCAGCAGCCGCGGUAAUACGAAGGGGGCUAGCGUUGCUCGGAAUUACUGGGCGUAAAGGGCGCGUAGGCGGCCGAUCAAGUCAGGCGUGAAAUUCCCGGGCUCAACCUGGGGGCUGCGCUUGAGACUGGUUGGCUAGAGGCCGAGAGAGGGUGGUGGAAUUCCCAGUGUAGAGGUGAAAUUCGUAGAUAUUGGGAAGAACACCGGUGGCGAAGGCGGCCACCUGGCUCGGUACUGACGCUGAGGCGCGACAGCGUGGGGAGCAAACA
RNAcentral lists this ribosomal RNA (402 nucleotides) under uncultured Roseomonas sp. RNAcentral's name for it is "partial 16S ribosomal RNA". It matches the Rfam family "Bacterial small subunit ribosomal RNA", at positions 355 to 774 of the family's 1533-position model. The record is from RNAcentral. Lineage: Bacteria; Pseudomonadati; Pseudomonadota; Alphaproteobacteria; Acetobacterales; Roseomonadaceae.